This 364-nucleotide transfer-messenger RNA is filed under the name Candidatus Saccharimonadota bacterium. It matches the Rfam family "transfer-messenger RNA". Rfam says of the family: Bacterial tmRNA, also known as 10Sa RNA or SsrA, is named for its dual tRNA and mRNA-like properties. Its role is to liberate the mRNA from a stalled ribosome. The record is from RNAcentral. Lineage: Bacteria; Candidatus Saccharimonadota.
GGGGCUGACAAAGCUUAGACGGUUUAUUAACAGAUAUCAAGCACGACGAUUGAUACCGUAAGUAUUGAAUAAAUGAAGAAAAAACUUCAAAGCAUGUGCUUUAUGCACCUGUUUAUGCCUAAUUAUAUAAACUUAUAGGCUGGUCUAGGAUCGAGUUUCCAUAGAUUCUUUAGAUUAUCAUAACUUAUGGAAAUGGACUUCAUCUUCUGACAGAGGUGAAUUCGAGAUUUUCGUCAUGGCGUCUUUUAGGUUUCGUUCUUUGCCGCCUAAUAGAUAAGCCAAGAAUAAAAACAGAGAACUAUGCGUGUAGAAUGAUAUCAUGGAGAUUCUCCGGACGGGGAGGCAGUAUCCCCCAGCUCCACCA